RNAcentral lists this ribosomal RNA (253 nucleotides) under uncultured bacterium. Its description in RNAcentral is "partial 16S ribosomal RNA". It matches the Rfam family "Bacterial small subunit ribosomal RNA", at positions 524 to 776 of the family's 1533-position model. The record is from RNAcentral.
UACGGAAGGGGCGAGCGUUGUUCGGAAUUACUGGGCGUAAAGAGCGCGUAGGAGGCUUACCAAGUUGGGUGUGAAAUCCCGGAGCUCAACUACGGAACUGCCUUCAAAACUGGUAGGCUCGAGUCCGGAAGAGGGGCGUGGAAUUCCCAGUGUAGAGGUGAAAUUCGUAGAUAUCGGGAAGAACACCGGUGGCGAAGGCGGCGCUCUGGUCCAGUACUGACGCUGAGGUGCGAAAGCGUGGGGAGCAAACAGG